RNAcentral lists this long non-coding RNA (8390 nucleotides) under Lactuca sativa (garden lettuce). Its description in RNAcentral is "long non-coding RNA (LSAT_LNC009679)". The record is from RNAcentral. Lineage: Eukaryota; Viridiplantae; Streptophyta; Magnoliopsida; Asterales; Asteraceae.
AAGUUAGUUGAUUUAAAGUCCUUAAUAUAACACCCAAUAUGAAAUAUUAAGGCUAUGACCCAACACAAUAUUUUAUAACUUGGAAGAGGGAUGUCGUAAUCCAAGCUAUAAAAUAUUUGAAGGUAGGCGAAUGACGAUUCACCAAUUUCCACCAUGAAAAACGAAAUAGGUAUUAGGUUUUAAUUGGUUUGAAACUCCUAGAUCUUUUGAGAUUCAUUGAACUAUUAAAUGACAUGUUUAAAUCUCGAUUGUGCCCUCUCAAGUUUGUGACUGGGAUGCCGAAGAUCACAAACAAGAUGUGAAUAACCAUGCAAAUUGACUUGGUGCCCUUAAUUUUUAUCACCUAAUCGAUGUGUCGGUUACCCACAUGCGCUCCACCGAUCUAUGAUAAACAUUAAGUCACCAUUUGCCACUCUUACUAGUCCACGUUAGUGUGUCGGGUACCCACACAUGCUCCACCAACGACUUGGUAAGGUACACAGUGUAAUUUCAUGGGUUAACACCAAAUUCACAUUUUCCUAUGUAACUAAGAUUGGGAAUUUAUAAGUGUUUAGUUACUUAGUAUUUAUCAUUAUACUUUUAAUGAAAGGGAGAUUUAUAGUCCUGUCAAACCCGUUCGGCUAACGACCUUCCACCAGUCAAGUAAGCGGUGGGUGAGAGUGGACGCCCAUUAAACUGUCAUUUUAUAGGUAGUAACCUUAUACCCCCUUAUAGACUGGCUUCGUGAAUGAGGCCUACUAAUGGUAAGACUGACUUUUUUCUUAUACAUAUAUAUAACUAUUAACUAUUAAUAUUAUAAUGGUUGAAUUUUAACUUUUAAAACUCUAGAAUUUUGAAUUAAAGUAUUCAAAAGUGUAACUUUACAAAUUCCAAAACUUGAGGGCAAGUUUUGAAUAAUUCAAAAAACUUUUGGAAUCCAUAACAUAUGAGUUUAAUGUAGGUUUAAAUGAGAAGACUCUUGAAAAUCCAUAACUUUAGGACAAGUUAUAGAGGUCAUAAAACAAUUUAUGGGAAAAGACUCUUCAAGUUCAUAACCUAAGACUCUUUAAUAAUUCUUUUAAAGAAAAACUUUUGGUUUUCCAUAACUUGAGGACAAGUUAUGGAAUCCACUAAAAGCAUUAAGAUCAUCAAAUAAACUAACAAACAUGCCUAGCAACAUUCAUGAUCAAGAUUAAACUCAUAUGAACAAGACAAUUCAAAUCAAACAAUUUUUCAUGUAAUUAGCCUAAGUAUUAAACUAAUACAAAACAUGAAACUUUUGAUAAUUAUCUCUUGAAUUGGAUUAGAAUGAUCAUUACCACAUAAAAAACAGGUUUAUAAGUUCAAAAACAGCUAGGGUAAUGAUUUUAGACCAAUUCCAGCCUUAAAACUCGAAAAUAUGUUGUCUGGGGUCCUACUCAUCGAGUGCAUCAACCAACUCGACGAGUUGGAUGAUUUUAGGCACUUUUUAGGCAUGGACUCAUCGAGUCACUCCCUGGACUCGUCUAGUCAGCUGUCCAGACAACAAAAAACUUCGAUUUCCAGCCUUAAAAAGCAAGUAGCAUUAAGUAUAAUUGAAAAUAACCCUAGGCUAUGAUACCACUGUUGGGUUUUGAGCAUUCUAACACUCCUAUGGUGUACAUGCAACCCUAUGUGCUUUGUAUCUAUGUUUUCUCUAUUAUACAUGCAUACAUAUAAAAUUCCAAAGCAUCAUCCUAACUAGCAUGUUAUGAAGCAACUAUACUACAAAGUUCUAGUUAGAUGACAUAACUUUUAAUGGAGAUUGAAGUCUUGAACAUUUAAGAGCUUAGUGCCCCAAGUGUUGCACCUCAAAUGGUUCACACAACAUCGGCUAGCCCUCAUGUAUGUGUCACAAGUGCCAAUUUCUUGAACUAUGGGGUCCUUUAUAUAGUGUGGCUUAUUAGGGUUACACGAUGUACAUGACCUUCCAUAUUCUUCAUGCUCCAUGGGUUAAAACCUCCAUGGAGUAUCCAUGGAUAACUCCAUGAGUUUAGCCCAACAUGAAGACCUAUGGAUCAUAAGCCCACAUAUAUAAGAAUGAAUGAUUUACAUAAUCAAUCCCCAUAUAUUUAAUUAGUCUCUUUUGAUCACAAAAUUAAUUCCAAAUUAAUUCUUGAUCAAUACUAAUUAAAUAAUAUGAUUUCAUAUUAAUAUAUUAGAACUUAUAAUACAUUAACAAAUCAUAAGUAUCCUUUCUCUCAUUUGUCUAUCCAAUUGUUCUGAUGUCAUGCAACCCAAAUGGACCAUGCUACUCUCGGGUCGAAUACAUACCAAUAAUAGUUAUGGACUUAGACAUCUAAUCCAAAAGAUCCGGCUAAGAUAGAGGUCGUGAUGCAAGGAGAGGUCCCAAGGUCUCCAUCCAAGAUUCAGAGCUUCCUAGGUUUGGCAGGGUAUUAUAGGAGAUUUAUCCAGGACUUCUCCAAGAUAGCAGUUCCAUUUACCCGACUAACCAAGAAGUCGGUGGUGUUUCGUUGGGGUCCUGAGCAGCAGACCGCCUUCGACACGCUCAUACAGCGAUUGUGCGAGGUGCCAAUUCUCACCUUGCCAGAGGGAGUAGAUAACUUCGUAGUCUACUGUAACUCUUUAAUCACAGGUAUAGGAGCAGUGUUUAUGCAGCGGGGGCAUGUGAUACCUUAUGCCUCGCGACAGUUGAAGCCUUACGAGGCUAACUAUUCGACACAUGAUUUAGAGCUGGGGGCGGUGGUGUUCGCCCUCAAGAUUUUGCGGCAUUACCUCUAUGGGUUCCAUUGUAUCUAUUUACACGGACCACAAGAGUUUGAGGUACCUCAUGGAUCAGCCAAAUCUGAACAUGCGGCAACGUCGGUGGUUAGAUUGUUGGGUUUUAAGCAUUCUAACACUCCUAAGGUGUGCAUGCAACCCUUAUAACCUUGGAUCUAUGUUUUCUCUAGAAUACAUGCAAAUAAUAAUUUCCAAGGUUUCUUCCUAACUAGCAUAGCAUAAGGAUUAUAAAACAUAAAAUUAAUAGUAGAAAGACAUACCUUUUAUAGUGAUUGAUUGCUUGGAGUUUGAGAGCCUAGCACCAAUAAUGUGAAUGCCUCAAGUGGAAUCACAAAUCACCACAAACUUGGAAAAACCUUGAGAGAAUGAUAUGCUUAUAGAGAAAUCGGCCACCCUUAGUUCUCACACAACUAGUGUCACAUUUCAUGCAUCAUAAGCUUCUUUAUAUAGUGUGCAUGAUUAGGGUGAAACCUUAAUAACCCAUGUCUUUUCCUUUCCAAGGAUCCAUAGGUUAAAAGCUCCAUGGAUCAUCCAUGGACUUCCAUAUAAGCUUAGCCCAUUAACAAAUGAGUAUUAGCCCACACCAUAUAAAUAUACUAGCCCAUGAUUUAAUUAGUCUUCCUUUUAAUCACUAAAUUAAUUCAUAAUUAAUUUAAGACUAAAACUAAUUAAAUAACAUGGCUUCAUAUUAAUAUAUUAUAACUUAUAAUAUAUUAAUAAAUCAUAAACAUACUAUUCUCAUAAGAUUAUCCACAUAAAUUGUUCGGGUGAAGUGCAACCCAAAUGGACCAUGCCGGGUCGGGUCAAGUAUAUACCAAAUAAGUUAUGGACUUAGACACCUUAUCCAACAGCUCCCACUUGGAUAAGUCUAAUAACUGUAUUUGCCUAUAUUACUUUAGGAACCAACCGACAACCGUAGCUCUCGAAAACUCUGUUGAACUAUGAAGCGCCAUUUUAGAUAAGUGAUCAUGUAAUCCUCAGUUCUCAUGAUAUCAUCCGGACAAAUACAUGGAACAAUGUCGUACUUAUUGUCCAGCAGUUUCUUUCAUGAUUUCCGAUUUGUUUGACAAAGAACUUAACUGAACACAUCAGUUUAGUUCUGACCGGGCCCGGUACAUGGGUCAACACAAAAUCAUCGAGGGGCCCAAAUAUCGCUUCUAUUUCUAGAAGGAACAGAUAAACUUCGACUCAUAUGCUUGUUCUACUACUUGUUGAAUUGUACACAAAGGCACGUUUUAUAACAUCAAGUUACUGAUGCGUUUUCGUGCAAUCAAUGCACAACCAACUCAUAGGUAACAACUCAUAUCUCUAGGUUUGAAGACUUAUAUGAUAUUACCGUCUCACGAUCACUCGAGAUAAAUUCCAUGAAGUGAUACAAGUGAGCGUGGGUUUAUUCCAAUACUCAUAACUUAUGAGCACUCAUGAAUGUUAUAGCAACCAUUGCUAUGUCUAAACACAUUUAGCCAUCUACAACCUCGAUUCAUGACAGUCUUAAUUCAUACCUACUUCCAACAUAUGAACGACUGUGGAGUGUUUAAAUAAAUUAGUCAUUCGGAAAGAAUAGCCUAGCUAUUGUGGAAGUCAAAACAUUCAAAGUGAAACACAAUAAUAAUCGAAUCUAAUAUGGUCUCAGAACCCUUUUGAAUAUAAAUAGAACCACCUUUUAUUUAUCACCAUAUUGAUUACACAUUAUUCAUUGUAUAAUGUUUCAAAUAAUCAACUUAAUACUUGAAUAAAACAAUAGUUGUUCCAUGCUCACUUUUUUUUCUAAACAAUAGUUAUGCCAUACUUCAAGUAUGCACACUAUGUUUGUCUAUGAUCCUUACUUUGUGAAAUAGAUCAAUUGAACAUGAUUCCAAUGAUGCUCAUUUCACAAUCUCAAAUCCUUAUUGUAAAUGUAAGAAUUCCUAAUUCCUACCAUUUACUAAUAUCUGUUAGACUUUAAACUUAUAUGCACUGAUCCUCUCAUAAUGAUUAUGCACAAAGUCACCAAAACCUUUGUCACUAGUCAUUACAGAGUAUUCCAAAGAAGAUCAACUCUAUGGAAACGAAGUCUCAUAUUCAAAGUACACUUCUUUGAACAUCCUUCUUGCAUUAAGUUUUCUAAUCUCACGGAGAUUGAACGAAUAACUUCCACCUAUGGAAACAUUUCCAGAUUCCAUUUUGACUAUCACUCCUGAACAAGAGUUGCCUCUUUUCAGAAAAUGUCAAUAUGGUCCUGCCAAAAUUAACACUAUACUUCCAACUGUCCCUGAGUAACCAAUCUUUGGUAAACCUUAGAUUGUCCUCGGCAACUGUUUAAUCGUUUUAGGCAUAUCCAAUUCUAGACUUUUCCCCUCUUAAUGCCCAGAGCAUUUGGAAAAUUUAGAAAGGAUGAAUAUUAUAGCACAUGCAAUCGAUCUUAUAUCUGAAGCAUAUAAGACACAAUUCACGAGGUUUGACAUAAAGACAUGAUACUAGACCAGUCUUUUGCUACAAUAUUUUUAUUUGUUGCGUUCUCAGAAUUUGACUAUGAAGAGAGAUUUCGUAAUCAUAAUCGAAUUUUGAGAAUGCAAUAUAUAUANUAUAUAUAUAUAUAUAUAUCCUUGACAAGAGAUGAUUAAAAUCUCAAUCUAAGCAUCUAGAAUUGAAAUGAAGUAUGAUUUUCUCUCCCUUAAUUAUAGAAAAACAACUUUUUCAACCCCUGCAACUUCACGAAUUGAAAAUUUUGUUUUUCUAUAAUUAACAUUCCUUACUUGCAAUACUAUAAUAAUCUUGUUCCCACUAACAUGAUGAUUAUCAGCAUAACACUUAUGCUCUCACUAGCUUUGACAUAUUUCCAGAAAUCAGCUGGACUUCUAAAAUUUAGACUCAUACACCUUUCCUCAGAUAACUUACAUGUGUGUCUAAACAACUUCCAGAACUAUGAAAAGGAAUGCCAUAAUCAUAGUCUUAAUUGUUUAGACCUUUUCCAUUUCUUACAAGUCCAUGUUAGUGUGCCGGUUAACCACACAUGCUCCACUAACAACUUUUGAAAAUGAAAAUAUCACAAUUGCUAUCUACUUAAAAUCUACUUUGUGAAAGCGUUUCUUCACCAUCAUUUUCAUGAACCGGAGAGAAACCUUAUGACACUUAGAUUUUAUAGUGUAUGAGUUCCUAUCCAUGUGGAUUUGUCAAAACCAUAAUCAAAAGACAAGGUUAGUGACAAAAUCAGCCUCACAUGGAUUGAACCUUUUAAAUCUAAAUUUCUUUGGCACUUGGUAGCACAAGGCCCACCAAUGCUUCCAAGCUGUUAUGCACACAGUUUAGUACUAACAGAAGGCACAUAUGCAUAGUUAAUUUAAUUGGCACAAGAAUUAUGUCAACAUGAUAGGUUACAAACCUCAAGUCAUGUGCUAGUGAUAAAACACAGGUUUCACUCUUGAUUAGAUCUUGAAACUCUUUCAGGAUCAUUAAGAUUCCCACUGUCCUCUUGACAUAUAAGUUUCCCUAGUCAAGAACCAUUUCUUGACAAAACAGAUAUUCAUGGAAUAGUGCAGAUACUUAUCAAGAUUAACACUUCACACAAUUAGUCUUAGUUGGUCUUUGUCUAAUCCAAGACAUCACAACUUACCAAUUUUAAAUGUACAAGAGCAGAAAACAUUUUACUCUUACAUUUGACAAGUGUUAAAACCUUCUUUAAGAUAUGUGUCACUCAAAUUACAAUCUUGGAGUACGACUCUAAGACUUUGUUUUGGAACGAAGUAUGAUUCAUCUUCUUGAUUUUAACCAUUCCAACAAUUCAUGACUCCUUUUCUUAGCCAUAACAAUGCACUAAGAUGUCCUUAGAGAAUUAAUUGUGAUAUGGUAUCUUAAUCAUUAAGAUGAUCAUAAAACACAAUACUAAAGUACUCUCCCAUCUUUUCAGAUAUGAGAAACGUUUAUCUUUCUGUCUAAUUUGACUCUUUCCCAUUCGUUCUGACGCACAUUGAAAACUUUCCAAUGCUUCAGAAUUAUACUUAAACUUGUAAGUAUAACCAUGUUUACUAAGCUUUAGCAAAUCAUGACGAAUAGUCUUGUCAAUCUUUGUGGUGGACUUGACCAGUGCACAAGCAUGUGUACUCGAUCCCUUUAGUCCUAUCCUUGUUCACAUAAGGAACUAGUCUUAAUUUCCAAAGAUGAAAAUUCUCAUCCAUCAUACUAUACAACUUGCAUGAUUCCAAGUUUCGGUCCAAUUGAAACUUGGGUGAUGAGAGUAUUUCCUUAUUUGUAAAAUUUAGACACUACCACAAAUGAGAGAAUCAAAUCCACUUUCCAAUAUUGCUAUUACUGGAAUCAUAUAAGCAACAAUUUUUCACAAAUGCCAUUGUAAGUAUUUUUUAAAAUAAAUAAAAUUAAAACUUUUUUUUCUUUCAUUUUAAAACUUUGCAGAAAAACUUAUCCUUACAAUCCAUAUGAAAAGCUUGUUGUUAUCUAUUCCUAAGCAAUAUAUCAUAACUCUUUAAGCAACAACUCAAAAAUCUGAUUACCGAACCAUGCGAUCGAAAUCCAUCUUGGCAAUCAGAAUCAGCAUAUACUUCCUUUAAACUUCCUAUCUUUUCUUUGAUUCUUAAAAACAUCAAUAUGUGACCCAUUCACAUUAUGUAAUAAGAAUCUCCAAACAGAAACUUAAUAGAGUUAGACAGUGGACUUUACCCUUUGGUAAUGGCACAUGAAACCAUCUCAGACUUAGCCUUUCUCUUUACCAUCUAGUCAACCGAGUUGACUAUGGCUGAUCCCUUUCCAUUGGGAAGAGAAAUCCUUUUCUAGAUAUCCAAUGCUACCAUUGUCAAUGUCCAUUUAAGGUUUGGGAAGUUGAUCUUCUAAUCAAAUUUGCUUUACUAGUGUUUCAAAUCAUUGCUGAUUCCGCAACACCAAGCAAAUAGAUAAUAUUAUUAAGGGUCAUGUCAUAGUUUGUCUUAUAGUAGUUCCAAAGGGACUCACUACGUUACUAAGAAAGUGAUUGAACAUCCAACUUUCACAAGACUUUGACACCCAACUCUCCUGGCUUGUUAAUACGUGACUUCAUCUACAAGAUGUGAUCACACAUAGACCUUUCUUGCCAAUAGGGCUUGAGUGACCUUAAACUUUUCAAGAACUUGUGGGUUAGGGAAAAUAAUUAGAGGAGGUGGAGGAAGUGAAGCAUGAUGUUGAGGGACACCAUCUUCAAGAGAUUUGGGAAGAUCAUAGUUGUCUGAACCAGACAUCUAUAAUGGGAGAAAAUCAAGUUAGUUGAUUUUGUAAGUCCUUAAUAUAACACCCAAUUUGAAAUAUUAAGGCUAUGACCCAAUCACAAUAUAUUAUACUUAGAAGAGGUAUGUCGUAAUCUAAGUAAUAANUAAAAUAUUUGAAGGUAGGUGAAUGAUGAUUCACCAAUUUCCACCAUGAAAAACGAAAUAAUUUAUUAGGUUUUAAUUGGAUUUGAAAUUCCUAGAUCUUUUGAGAUUCAUUGAACUUUUCAAUGGCAUGUUUCAAUCUCGAGUGUGCCCUCUCAAAUUUUGUGACUGGGAUGCCGAGGAUCACAAAACAAGGUGUUAAUAACCAUACCAAUUCACAUGGUACCCUUAAUAUUAUCACCUAAUCAAUGUGCCGGUAAACCACACUCGCUCCACCGAUCUAUGAUAAACAUUAAGUCACCCUUCGUGAUCCUUACU